GGGGAAUCUUGCGCAAUGCGCGAAAGCGUGACGCAGCAACGCCGCGUGCGGGAAGACGGCCUUCGGGUUGUAAACCGCUUUCAGUUGGGACGAAGGUUCAUCCGUUAAUAGCGGAUUGGACUGACGGUACCUUCACAAGAAGCCCCGGAUAACUACGUGCCAGCAGCCGCGGUAAUACGUAGGGGGCAAGCGUUGUCCGGAAUCAUUGGGCGUAAAGCGCGUGUAGGCGGCUUGUUAAGUCCGCUCUGAAAGUCCAGGGCUCAACCCUGGAAUGCGGGUGGAUACUGGCAAGCUCGAGUCCGGAAGAGGCGAGUGGAAUUCCUGGUGUAGCGGUGAAAUGCGCAGAUAUCAGGAGGAACACCAAUGGCGAAGGCAGCUCGCUGGGACGGUACUGACGCUGAGACGCGAAAGCGUGGGGAGCAAA
RNAcentral lists this ribosomal RNA (424 nucleotides) under uncultured bacterium. Its description in RNAcentral is "bacterial SSU rRNA". It matches the Rfam family "Bacterial small subunit ribosomal RNA", at positions 356 to 772 of the family's 1533-position model. The record is from RNAcentral.